This is a long non-coding RNA of Tachyglossus aculeatus (Australian echidna), 1113 nucleotides long. RefSeq lists it as uncharacterized. The record is from RefSeq and is a predicted model, not a curated record. The transcript has 5 exons. Lineage: Eukaryota; Metazoa; Chordata; Mammalia; Monotremata; Tachyglossidae.
GACCCUGGACAAUUCACUUGAUUUCCCUGAGCCUCAGUUUCCUUCCCCAUAAAAUGGGGAUUUAAUCCUAUUCCCUCAUACGUAAAUUGUGAUGCCUCUGUGGGACAGUGUCCGUGUCCAACCUGAUUAUCUUGUAUAUUUCCUAGCGCUUAGUACAGCGCUUGGCGUAUAGUAAUCACUUGACAAGCCCCAUUGAAAAAAAAAAAAGGCGAGAAUGAUUUUCAAAAUAAUAUAAAAAGUCCUUCUUCUUGGUUUGGCUUGGCACCAUUUUACAGUGACUAGCUCAGUGUUACUCAAAUGAUGAGCAGGGAUGUUGGGCUUGGAACAGAGGAUUUUGCUUAAUUCACUGGAAAGGGAAUUUACUUCUAAACAGAACAUGGGCUGAAGUGAAAGAGAAAAGCACAAACUACUGGAAUAGUUUUGUAGUGCCACCUGGACAUUUUUUCAUGGUUUUUUUUUUUAUUGUUCUGUGUGUGUGUGUUUUUAAAGGCUAGCUUUGUGCAUUCUGUGGAUUUGCCCAAUCGAAGGGAAUCUCAGAGUUUGCUGAAAAAUUCACGGAGAAGCAAAAUCUCAACGUUCUGAUGACGGCCAUCUGAGGCCCCUCCGGAGGACAUUGAACUGCGUAGCUCCGAAAGCCCAAUACCUUGGUGUUUCUGGUACAUCACCAAUGCAGGCUGCCGGGUGAAAGGGAGCACUCAGAGAAGAGGGACUGGAGAAGAGUUUUUCUUCAAAUACUCUGGUCUCCCGUCUCGGCUCUGUCUCUCCUUCAGGAUGUGUGUGGACAGUGCGGUGGCCAACCCCCAGCCCCGGCCCCCCACACUGGCUCAGAUGGCACCACCUCCACUCGUCUUCGAUGUGCCCGCCCUGGCCAGGAGGCCCAGGGCAUGGGGCCUAAACCUACCAUUUCCCAUGGUGGCCGCCUGCUCACCCCGCAGGGGAGGCUGGAGCUGCUGCUUAUUCCCCAAGGGAGAGAAGCCCCCGCACCCCAACCUCUUCUUCCAAGAGUGGAAGCCCGUCUCUUCGCUUACCUUUGGCCAGAAGGGACUCCAGGCCGAAUGAAGAGGAGAAAUUCAUGGACGCUUUGGACCACCUGGCUCAGGGAUUUAAUAGACU